UCCAACUGCUAAAAUGAUUUGAGUAUAGUUGGUGAGGCCUGCCCACUGAUUUAUGUUAACAGCAUAAGUUUAAGGGCCGCGGUAACUCUGACCGUGCUAAGGUAGCAUAAUCAAUUGCCACGUAAUUUGUGGCUAGUAUGAAAGGUUUAACAAGCUUUCCCCUGUCUCAACUACAUACCCACCGAAAUUUAAUAAGCUGUGAAGAUUCAGCUUCGCUCUGGUAGGACGAGAAGACCCCGUUGAGCUUGACUUUAAACCCUAGCAUUAUAUACUAUUAGUAAAAGCUAUGAUGUUGUAGGGUAGGUAAGUUUGGUUGGGGCGACCACCUAAAUACAAGUAACUUAGGUAAGCUAAGGUUAAAUAAUAAUAUAGUAAGCUUGACUGUAAGACUGAUAAGUCUAUCAGGUAGAUAUUCUAAGCUAUAGUGACCCUGUUAAUAGGUUAACAGCAAUUAGAUAAAAGUUACCACGGGGAUAACAGGGUUAUCUAGUAACAAAGUUCAUAUUGAAAACUAGGUUUGCCACCUCGAUGUUGAAUAGCAGUGUCCUAGGGGUGCAGCAGCUCCUGAAGGUUGGUCUGUUCGACCAUUAAAAC
RNAcentral lists this ribosomal RNA (594 nucleotides) under Chiropsalmus quadrumanus. Its description in RNAcentral is "partial 16S ribosomal RNA". It matches the Rfam family "Bacterial large subunit ribosomal RNA", at positions 1816 to 2594 of the family's 2925-position model. Lineage: Eukaryota; Metazoa; Cnidaria; Cubozoa; Chirodropida; Chiropsalmidae. The record is from RNAcentral.